GCAGCAGCCAAAGCGGCGGUGGAUUUAGUGGGCAAAGACUCUCUAGUGUAGAUAAGAGUAACAAGAAACGCAAUAGUGAAGAAAGAAACAAAGGCAAGGAGCCAUAAGCGAUUGGAGCUUCCUUGUUUUUGGACAUAAGGGUGAAGAAGAAUAAGCUUUGUAUUGUUAUUGUUAUUGCUCUUCAUCCUUCUUGUGCAAAAGAGAGAGCAAUGAAAAUCCUCCCUUCUCUCGUUCUUGGUGGUCAAGAUU
Molecule: unclassified non-coding RNA, 249 nt
Filed under: Hevea brasiliensis (rubber tree)
Lineage: Eukaryota; Viridiplantae; Streptophyta; Magnoliopsida; Malpighiales; Euphorbiaceae
Source: RNAcentral